RNAcentral lists this long non-coding RNA (861 nucleotides) under Carassius auratus (goldfish). RNAcentral describes it as "lncRNA (ENSCARG00000017416.1)". The record is from RNAcentral. Lineage: Eukaryota; Metazoa; Chordata; Actinopteri; Cypriniformes; Cyprinidae.
AGCGGAGUGGGGCCACAGAACACAUUGGAAGGAGCUGCUGGAUUGGUCGCAUUUUGACAUAGUAUCGAAGCAAAUCUCAUUCUCUGUGGCAUAUUUUACUGUUUUCUCUACAUCAUGAAGUGCCUGAUCAUACAAUUCUGGAUGUUGGCUCUACUGGUCUCCCAGGCUCAGGCUAAUGUGACAGAGACUGUGCCAACAAGUAUAGAUUCUACAACUAAAACUACAACUCAACCCAUGACUAUGCCAACAAGUAUAGAUUCUACAACUACAACUACAACUCAACCCACGACUACGCCAACAAGUGUAGAUUCUACAACUAAAACUACAACUCAACCCAUGACUACGCCAACGAGUGUAGAUUCUGCAACUAAAACUACAACUCAACCCAUGACUACGCCAACAAGUGUAGAUUCUACAACUACAACUACAACUCAACCCAUGACUACGCCAACAAGUGUAGAUUCUGCAACUAAAACUACAACUCAACCCAUGACUAGGCCAACAAGUGUAGAUUCUGCAACUAAAACUACAACUCAACCCAUGACUACGCCAACAAGUGUAGAUUCUACAACUUCAACUACAGCUCAUCCCACUGUGCCAAUAAGUGUAGAUUCUACAACUAAAACUACAACUCAACCCAUGACUACGCCAACAAGUGUAGAUUCUACAACUAAAACUACAACUCAACCCAUGACUACGCCAACAAGUGUAGAUUCUGCAACUAAAACUACAACUCAACCCAUGACUACGCCAAUGAGAGUAGAUUCUACAACUACAACUACGGCAUCAUCCAGCAACUCACUGACAGUUUCCGUCAUCAGCUAUACUCUUUCCAUCCUGCUUUACAUGCUGUUGAAUUGA